UAAAGGGUGCGUAGGCGGUUUGAUAAGUCUUAUGUGAAAUCUAUGGGCUCAACCCAUAGUCUGCAUAGGAAACUGUCGGGCUUGAGAGUGGGAGAGGUGAGUGGAAUUUCCGGUGUAGCGGUGAAAUGCGUAGAUAUCGGAAGGAACACCUGUGGCGAAAGCGGCUCACUGGACCAUUUCUGACGCUGAUGCACGAAAGCUAGGGGAGCAAACAGGAUUAGAUACCCUGU
Molecule: ribosomal RNA, 230 nt
Filed under: uncultured bacterium
Lineage: Bacteria
Description: partial 16S ribosomal RNA
Rfam family: Bacterial small subunit ribosomal RNA
Source: RNAcentral